CAGUAGCCGCGGUAAUACGUAGGUGGCAAGCGUUGUCCGGAAUUAUUGGGCGUAAAGGGCUCGCAGGCGGUUUCUUAAGUCUGAUGUGAAAGCUCCCGGCUCAACCGGGGAGGGUUAUUGGAAACUGGGAAACUUGAGUGCAGAAGAGGAGAGUGGAAUUCCACGUGUAGCGGUGAAAUGCGUAGAGAUGUGGAGGAACACCAGUGGCGAAGGCGACUCUCUGGUCUGUAACUGACGCUGAGGAGCGAAAGCGUGGGGAGCGAACAGGAUUAGAUACCCCCGUAGUCCCUGUCUCUUAUAA
This 301-nucleotide ribosomal RNA is filed under the name uncultured bacterium. RNAcentral's name for it is "partial 16S ribosomal RNA". It matches the Rfam family "Bacterial small subunit ribosomal RNA", at positions 509 to 809 of the family's 1533-position model. The record is from RNAcentral.